UCGGGUCUGUGGUUGCAAGCCGAAGCCAGUCGCAGGCAAAACGGUCCACGUAAGUCACCCAAAGCGGCGAUGAGCAUGGUGCGGUUUAGAAGUAAGUCCGACCGGGAUUUCCCGAGAGAGCAGCGUGAGGGCGCAGAAGCGCAGAGCAAAGCUCCUGUCGGCGAGUGUGGGGUCAAAGACCAGGUCAGCCGGU
Molecule: non-coding RNA, 193 nt
Filed under: bovine gut metagenome
Description: raiA RNA
Rfam family: raiA RNA
Source: RNAcentral